GAAAGCCGUGUGCAAUGAAAAAUGCAAGCACGGCUUGGGGAGGGUUUUUCCUUAUUUAAUUAACAUAACAAGGAAAUUAUCUACUCCAU
Molecule: non-coding RNA, 89 nt
Filed under: Olea europaea subsp. europaea
Lineage: Eukaryota; Viridiplantae; Streptophyta; Magnoliopsida; Lamiales; Oleaceae
Source: RNAcentral